GUUGGGUAGGGGAGCGUUCUGUAAGCCUGUGAAGGUGUGUCGUGAGGCAUGCUGGAGGUAUCAGAAGUGCGAAUGCUGACAUAAGUAACGAUAAAGCGGGUGAAAAGCCCGCUCGCCGGAAGACCAAGGGUUCCUGUCCAACGUUAAUCGGGGCAGGGUGAGUCGACCCCUAAGGCGAGGCCGAAAGGCGUAGUCGAUGGGAAACGGGUUAAUAUUCCCGUACUUGGUGUUACUGCGAAGGGGGGACGGAGAAGGCUAUGUUGGCCGGGCGACGGUUGUCCCGGUUUAAGCGUGUAGGUGUGUGUUCCAGGUAAAUCCGGUUCACUUUAACACUGAGGCGUGAUGACGAGGCACUACGGUGCUGAAGCAACAAAUGCCCUGCUUCCAGGAAAAGCCUCUAAGCAUCAGGUAACAUCAAAUCGUACCCCAAACCGACACAGGUGGUCAGGUAGAGAAUACCAAGGCGCUUGAGAGAACUCGGGUGAAGGAACUAGGCAAAAUGGUGCCGUAACUUCGGGAGAAGGCACGCUGACACGUAGGUGAAGUGAUUUACUCAUGGAGCUGAAGUCAGUCGAAGAUACCAGCUGGCUGCAACUGUUUAUUAAAAACACAGCACUGUGCAAACACGAAAGUGGACGUAUACGGUGUGACGCCUGCCCGGUGCCGGAAGGUUAAUUGAUGGGGUCAGCGCAAGCGAAGCUCCUGAUCGAAGCCCCGGUAAACGGCGGCCGUAACUAUAACGGUCCUAAGGUAGCGAAAUUCCUUGUCGGGUAAGUUCCGACCUGCACGAAUGGCGUAAUGAUGGCCAGGCUGUCUCCACCCGAGACUCAGUGAAAUUGAACUCGCUGUGAAGAUGCAGUGUACCCGCGGCAAGACGGAAAGACCCCGUGAACCUUUACUAUAGCUUGACACUGAACAUUGAGCCUUGAUGUGUAGGAUAGGUGGGAGGCUUUGAAGUGUGGACGCCAGUCUGCAUGGAGCCGACCUUGAAAUACCACCCUUUAAUGUUUGAUGUUCUAACGUGGACCCGUGAUCCGGGUUGCGGACAGUGUCUGGUGGGUAGUUUGACUGGGGCGGUCUCCUCCUAAAGAGUAACGGAGGAGCACGAAGGUUGGCUAAUCCUGGUCGGACAUCAGGAGGUUAGUGCAAUGGCAUAAGCCAGCUUGACUGCGAGCGUGACGGCGCGAGCAGGUGCGAAAGCAGGUCAUAGUGAUCCGGUGGUUCUGAAUGGAAGGGCCAUCGCUCAACGGAUAAAAGGUACUCCGGGGAUAACAGGCUGAUACCGCCCAAGAGUUCAUAUCGACGGCGGUGUUUGGCACCUCGAUGUCGGCUCAUCACAUCCUGGGGCUGAAGUAGGUCCCAAGGGUAUGGCUGUUCGCCAUUUAAAGUGGUACGCGAGCUGGGUUUAGAACGUCGUGAGACAGUUCGGUCCCUAUCUGCCGUGGGCGCUGGAGAACUGAGGGGGGCUGCUCCUAGUACGAGAGGACCGGAGUGGACGCAUCACUGGUGUUCGGGUUGUCAUGCCAAUGGCACUGCCCGGUAGCUAAAUGCGGAAGAGAUAAGUGCUGAAAGCAUCUAAGCACGAAACUUGCCCCGAGAUGAGUUCUCCCUGAGACUUAAAGUCUCCUGAAGGAACGUUGAAGACGACGACGUUGAUAGGCCGGGUGUGUAAGCGCAGCGAUGCGUUGAGCUAACCGGUACUAAUGAACCGUGAGGCUUAACCUUACAACGCCGAAG
RNAcentral lists this ribosomal RNA (1737 nucleotides) under Salmonella enterica. RNAcentral's name for it is "bacterial LSU rRNA". It matches the Rfam family "Bacterial large subunit ribosomal RNA", at positions 1223 to 2925 of the family's 2925-position model. Lineage: Bacteria; Pseudomonadati; Pseudomonadota; Gammaproteobacteria; Enterobacterales; Enterobacteriaceae. RNAcentral also lists the same sequence under 3 other names. The record is from RNAcentral.